UUGAGAAAUUUAAAGCAUAUAUGAAUUUUAGUUUUCCGAAAAAUAAUUUAAACAGGUUAUUCGGACUCACAAGGAUCUGAACCAAAAUAUAUAAAUAUACGAAUGAAUUUAAAUUUUUAAGCUCGAAAACCCAAAAUCUGAAUAGACCUAAACCAAACUUGAAUGGAUAUCCAAACGCCCACCCCUAUAUUAGAAAGAAGUAGCCAUUUAGAUUUG
This 216-nucleotide long non-coding RNA is filed under the name Brassica napus (rape). RNAcentral describes it as "long non-coding RNA (BNAP_LNC007728)". The record is from RNAcentral. Lineage: Eukaryota; Viridiplantae; Streptophyta; Magnoliopsida; Brassicales; Brassicaceae.